This 266-nucleotide ribosomal RNA is filed under the name uncultured bacterium. RNAcentral's name for it is "partial 16S ribosomal RNA". The record is from RNAcentral.
CUGCUGCCUUCCGUAGGAGUCUGGUCCGUGUCUCAGUACCAGUGUGGGGGACCUUCCUCUCAGAACCCCUACGCAUCGUCGCCACGGUGGGCCGUUACCCCGCCGUCUAGCUAAUGCGCCGCAUGCCCAUCCUCUUCCGAUGAAUCUUUCCUCGAUCUCGGAUGCCCGAAACCGAUAUACGCGGGAUUAGCCUCCCUUCCGGAAGGUUGUCCCCCUGAAGAGGGCAGGUUGCAUACGUGUUACUCACCCGUGCGCCGGUCGCCCGG